GAAUAGUCCAUUGUUCAGCUAUUAGCCCUCCUCAACUUGCAACAAAUUGCUGUUCCCAUCUCAUUCUUUUCCCUCUUCCACGCGUCAUCAUUCUGCUCCUGAGUGGCUCGCUUGUGGGCGUGCUGGCAGGAUAUGGCAGCAUCUUCGGUUGUGCAUCAAGAAUUCGGCACACAGUAGCACGUUUAUAUGAAGGAUGUCAAACUGGACACCUACGAAGAUGGCAUCUCAGAGAGAGCUGACCAAGGGGUUGAAAAUGUAGAUAUUGGCAGAUGUUACUGUCCGAGGAACAGGCCGUGAAAGCUUUACUGCUGGCAAAAAGUGUCCAUAACCAGAGGUUAUAUCAGCUGUUUUGGUGAACCCCUCCCACAUCUGAACUGGCUGACAGAGGGCACAGCAUGAUCAUAGGUGAUGUCACUUGGUCGGGUCAACAGGAAGUAUUACUAAAGAGAUGCUUUACAUUCACUUACAGACAGAGAUGUAGUAGUCCCAGAGUUAAUGAUCCAAGGUAUGUUUUGAUGUGAGAGAGGAAGCCGGUCCCGUCAUCUCCACCUCACCCGCUCUUAAGAUAACCUUCGGGCCAACUGGGGGCCCAAGGCCGGUUAGGAGACACCGCAAUUGUGAUGAACUGAGAGAAUAAGGGUAGCACUGUAAUUCAUGAAUCAUAUGCUGUCUGCCGCUGUUCUUACCUCUUUCCCUUUGUCUUCUACACCUCUCUCCCCACCUCGUCUUUCUUCCUCGUUUUAUAAUGCACACCAUAUGUGCAUUGAGGUACAGUUUGACCUUGUAUUUAUAAUAUUACAAUUCUCAUAAUUAUAAUGCAAUUACGCAUUUAACACCUGGAUAAUGAAGUUCUUUCAAUGAAGCGUUUCACAUUCUCGACUGGUUGAAAUUAAGUAUCUCAUUGAAAUACUACCCUGUGUCCUCAGAUUAAUGCAGAUGAAGGGAGUUAGAUAUCCAAUGUUUUUUUCUGUAUAUAUGAGUUACAAAUCAAUAAUGUUUCUAGUCUAUUGCAUAGUUACAAUGUGUAAUCCUUGAUGUCCCAGGAGCAG
RNAcentral lists this long non-coding RNA (1049 nucleotides) under Salmo salar (Atlantic salmon). RNAcentral's name for it is "lncRNA (ENSSSAG00000118629.1)". Lineage: Eukaryota; Metazoa; Chordata; Actinopteri; Salmoniformes; Salmonidae. The record is from RNAcentral.